RNAcentral lists this ribosomal RNA (427 nucleotides) under uncultured bacterium. RNAcentral's name for it is "bacterial SSU rRNA". It matches the Rfam family "Bacterial small subunit ribosomal RNA", at positions 355 to 774 of the family's 1533-position model. The record is from RNAcentral.
UAGGGAAUAUUGGACAAUGGGGGCAACCCUGAUCCAGCCAUGCCGCGUGAGUGAAGAAGGCCCUCGGGUUGUAAAGCUCUUUUGUCCGGAAAGAAAAGCUUCGGGUUAAUACCCCGGGGUUCUGACGGUACCGGAAGAAUAAGCACCGGCUAACUUCGUGCCAGCAGCCGCGGUAAUACGAAGGGUGCAAGCGUUACUCGGAAUUACUGGGCGUAAAGCGUGCGUAGGUGGUUGUUUAAGUCUGAUGUGAAAGCCCUGGGCUCAACCUGGGAAUGGCAUUUGAAACUGGGCAGCUAGAGUGCGGUAGAGGGUAGUGGAAUUCCCGGUGUAGCAGUGAAAUGCGUAGAGAUCGGGAGGAACAUCUGUGGCGAAGGCGACUGCCUGGACCAGCACCGACACUGAGGCACGAAAGCGUGGGGAGCAAACA